Long non-coding RNA from Triticum aestivum (bread wheat), 911 nucleotides. RefSeq lists it as uncharacterized. The record is from RefSeq and is a predicted model, not a curated record. NCBI's taxonomy places the organism in Eukaryota, Viridiplantae, Streptophyta, Magnoliopsida, Poales, Poaceae. The transcript is spliced from 2 exons.
UUGCUUUUCCCCCAGGAUCUGAAACAAGAACCAAAUGCAGUGGUGACUAGCUUUCAGCUUUUGAUCCCUGAGCGCACGCAUAUGGCUGCUGAAAGGAGUGGAGGAGAUGAGAGAGUGAGAAAGUAUUCCCUGCGCGCAUCACUGAUUGCCGCCGUACGUACGUCGAAUGGAACCGGAGAAAGGAGUGGCUGGAGAUCACUGGCGCGUACACCGCCCAUGCCGUCGGAAUCGCAUUCCCCUCCCACUCGCCUCCUCUUUAUAACACACACACACACACACACACACACACAGCUCGUGAAGCAGAGCUCGGCUCUCGCACAAGCAAGUAUCAAGUCCCGGGCCGGUCUCUACUGCGAUGCCAUGAUCGGAGACAUAUCCUCCCGUACAUCGUGGGCGAGGAUGAACAUGACGAUGAGCUACCUGACGAGGAGCCGGCGUUUUUGCCGGUUGAACGACCUCACCAUGUUGACCGCCUCUUCCUCGACAAGUGCCAAGGAGAUCUGCGUGUGCCACGAUGAGGUCGUUCAACCAGCAAAACAGCGGCGGUCAUCAUGUUCUUGAGAACUGGGUCUCACCCCAUUGGCUAGGCCUGCAAGGAGUGCAGUUAGCCCACCCGCGUCCGGCCAGCCGGCGUCAGCGGUGGCGACCCCAGAGUCGGCAAAGUGUACCUCUCCACGGCGUCGUGUGGGCCUGCGGCGUAGCAGUUGGUGAUGGCGAAGCGGCGCUCGGCUCCGGCUCCUGUUUUCAAGAAUGAGGAUUUUGGUUCUGCACAUGAAGUAGUGAGUGUAUGAUUGUGUAUGCGGAAGGCAAAAAGAGCCUCCGAGAUGAUACCCAUGAUUUGCUCUAGCUCGAGCCUCUAUGAUUUGUUUGUGUGUCGUCUGAUUGUGCCAAUGUGUUCUCGUUUAUGAGCC